This 133-nucleotide signal recognition particle RNA is filed under the name Pseudomonadota bacterium. Its description in RNAcentral is "Proteobacteria bacterium (freshwater metagenome) partial signal recognition particle sRNA large type". It matches the Rfam family "Bacterial large signal recognition particle RNA", at positions 131 to 256 of the family's 256-position model. Rfam says of the family: The signal recognition particle (SRP) is a universally conserved ribonucleoprotein involved in the co-translational targeting of proteins to membranes. The record is from RNAcentral. Lineage: Bacteria; Pseudomonadati; Pseudomonadota.
GGUCCCCGUGAACCCCGUGAGGUCCGGAAGGAAGCAGCGGUAAACGGAGUGGCCUGGGUGCCGCAAGGGCGCCUGGCCUGAGUAGGUCCACGGUUCUACGCGUACAUUCGGAACGUCAAAAGAGGGUGCACGA